GUGCCAGCCGCCGCGGUAAGACGGGGGGAGCAAGCGUUGUUCGGAUUUACUGGGCGUAAAGGGCGUCUAGGCGGACUAGUAAGUCAGGUGUGAAAUCCCCCGGCUCAACCGGGGAACUGCACUUGAAACUGCUAGUCUUGAGUUCGGAAGAGGAAAGCGGAAUUCCUGGUGUAGCGGUGAAAUGCGUAGAUAUCAGGAAGAACACCAGUGGCGAAGGCGGCUUUCUGGUCCGAUACUGACGUUGAAGCGCGAAAGUGUGGGGAGCAAACAGGAUUAGAUACCCUGGUAGUCCACACUGUAAACGAUGGAUGCUAGGUGUCGGAGGUAUCGACCCCUUCGGUGCCGAAGCUAACGCAUUAAGCAUCCCGCCUGGGGAGUACGGUCGCAAGGUUGAAACUUAAAUGAAUUGGCGGGG
This 415-nucleotide ribosomal RNA is filed under the name uncultured prokaryote. RNAcentral describes it as "bacterial SSU rRNA". It matches the Rfam family "Bacterial small subunit ribosomal RNA", at positions 505 to 918 of the family's 1533-position model. The record is from RNAcentral.